AACGCGAAGAACCUUACCAGCCCUUGACAUCCCGAUCGCGGUUACCAGAGAUGGUUUCCUUCAGUUAGGCUGGAUCGGUGACAGGUGCUGCAUGGCUGUCGUCAGCUCGUGUCGUGAGAUGUUGGGUUAAGUCCCGCAACGAGCGCAACCCUCGCCCUUAGUUGCCAUCAUUCAGUUGGGCACUCUAAGGGGACUGCCGGUGAUAAGCCGAGAGGAAGGUGGGGAUGACGUCAAGUCCUCAUGGCCCUUACGGGCUGGGCUACACACGUGCUACAAUGGUGGUGACAGUGGGCAGCGAGACCGCGAGGUCGAGCUAAUCUCCAAAAGCCAUCUCAGUUCGGAUUGCACUCUGCAACUCGAGUGCAUGAAGUUGGAAUCGCUAGUAAUCGUGGAUCAGAAUGCCACGGUGAAUACGUUCCCGGGUCUUGUACACACGC
RNAcentral lists this ribosomal RNA (437 nucleotides) under uncultured Phyllobacterium sp. RNAcentral describes it as "bacterial SSU rRNA". It matches the Rfam family "Bacterial small subunit ribosomal RNA", at positions 958 to 1393 of the family's 1533-position model. Lineage: Bacteria; Pseudomonadati; Pseudomonadota; Alphaproteobacteria; Hyphomicrobiales; Phyllobacteriaceae. The record is from RNAcentral.